AGCGAACGCUGGCGGCAGGCCUAACACAUGCAAGUCGAACGAACCUUUCGGGGUUAGUGGCGGACGGGUGAGUAACACGUGGGAACGUGCCUUUAGGUUCGGAAUAACUCAGGGAAACUUGUGCUAAUACCGAAUGUGCCCUUCGGGGGAAAGAUUAAUCGCCUUUAGAGCGGCCCGCGUCUGAUUAGCUAGUUGGUUGAGGUAAUGGCUCACCAAGGCGACGAUCAGUAGCUGGUCUGAGAGGAUGAUCAGCCACAUUGGGACUGAGACACGGCCCCAACUCCUACGGGAAGCAGCAGUGGGGAAUCUUGCGCAAUGGGCGAAAGCCUGACGCAGCCAUGCCGCGUGAAUGAUGAAGGUCUUAGGAUUGUAAAAUUCUUUCACCGGGGACGAUAAUGACGGUACCCGGAGAAGAAGCCCCGGCUAACUUCGUG
RNAcentral lists this ribosomal RNA (434 nucleotides) under uncultured bacterium. RNAcentral's name for it is "partial 16S ribosomal RNA". It matches the Rfam family "Bacterial small subunit ribosomal RNA", at positions 29 to 507 of the family's 1533-position model. The record is from RNAcentral.